RNAcentral lists this unclassified non-coding RNA (300 nucleotides) under uncultured Didymosphaeriaceae. RNAcentral describes it as "sequence contains 5.8S rRNA gene, ITS2". The stretch from base 1 to 82 matches the Rfam family "5.8S ribosomal RNA", at positions 71 to 154 of the family's 154-position model. The record is from RNAcentral. Lineage: Eukaryota; Fungi; Ascomycota; Dothideomycetes; Pleosporales; Didymosphaeriaceae.
AUAAGAGACAGGUGAGUCAUCGAAUCUUUGAACGCACAUUGCGCCCCUUGGUAUUCCAUGGGGCAUGCCUGUUCGAGCGUCAUCUACACCCUCAAGCCCUGCUUGGUGUUGGGCGUCUGUCCCGCCUCCGCGCGCGGACUCGCCCCAAAUCCAUUGGCAGCGGACCUUGCCUCCUCUCGCGCAGCACAUUGCGCUUCUCGAGGUGCUUGCGGCCCGCGUCCACGAAGCAUCAUUUACCGUCUUUGACCUCGGAUCAGGUAGGGAUACCCGCUGAACUUAAGCAUAUCAAUAAGCGGAGGA